This 342-nucleotide ribosomal RNA is filed under the name uncultured bacterium. RNAcentral describes it as "bacterial SSU rRNA". It matches the Rfam family "Bacterial small subunit ribosomal RNA", at positions 30 to 372 of the family's 1533-position model. The record is from RNAcentral.
AUUGAACGCUGGCGGCGUGCCUAACACAUGCAAGUCGAGCGGUAACAGGUGUAGCAAUACAUGCUGACGAGCGGCGAACGGGUGAGUAAUGCUUCGGAAUCUACCCAAUGGUGGGGAAUAACCAGCCGAAAGGUUGGCUAAUACCGCAUACGUCCCACGGGAGAAAGCAGGGGAUCGCAAGACCUUGCGCCAAUGGAUGAGCCGAAGUCGGAUUAGCUAGUUGGAGGGUAACGGCCUACCAAGGCGACGAUCCGUAGCUGGUCUGAGAGGACGACCAGCCACACUGGGACUGAGACACGGCCAGACUCCUACGGGAGGCAGCAGUGGGGAAUAUUGGACAAU